Molecule: ribosomal RNA, 199 nt
Filed under: uncultured bacterium
Lineage: Bacteria
Description: partial 16S ribosomal RNA
Rfam family: Bacterial small subunit ribosomal RNA
Source: RNAcentral
ACGCUCGACACCUACGGGAGGCAGCAGUGGGGAAUAUUGGGCAAUGGGCGCAAGCCUGACCCAGCAACGCCGCGUGAAGGAAGAAGGCUUUCGGGUGUAAACUUCUUUUAUUCGGGACGAAGAGAUGACGGUACCGAAUGAAUAAGCCACGGCUAACUACGUGCCAACAGCCGCGGUAAUCUGAGCGGGCUGGCAAGGC